CGGGUCUAUGGUUAUUUCCGUUUCAUGCCAUCAUAACAAGAUCAUACCAAAAUGCAAGAACGGCUCCGUGACCAUAGUGACCGCAGACUACCAUCUUUUGGUCGCCACGCUCUUCAAACUCGGGACGGAGAUUUCAAAUUUGUCUUCCGCUGCAUGCUAUCCCAACAGACUGGAUAUAUUUGACGGUGAUUCCUCGGACAUUUCGAAGAUGUUAUCAGACAAAGGGGGAUCUGCGGCUGCAAACUUCCCGCCAAAACUGUUUUCAUGUCGUUCGGUAACGCCAUCACGGUUCGUCUGCAGACGACACGCGACCGGGCUACACACGGAGAGCUGGAACUGGUCUUGACGUCUGUGAAAAAUGAGAAAAAAGUCAACCUUAGCUGCAGCUUUCAGAAGCGCCUCAGCGAAGCCACGUCCCAUUCCCGAGGCACCGCCCGUCACCAACGCCACCUUGCCCACCAGGUGCAUUCUGCGGUCCACCUGAAGAUCAGACGACGUGAUCCCGCACACGACGUUCGUGUCUCAGACCCAGUAUUAAGGCGCUCUGAGACAGUUUUAACCUGGUUCUGCAAGCAGACGACAGCACGAA
This is a long non-coding RNA of Dreissena polymorpha, 589 nucleotides long. RefSeq lists it as uncharacterized. The record is from RefSeq and is a predicted model, not a curated record. Lineage: Eukaryota; Metazoa; Mollusca; Bivalvia; Myida; Dreissenidae. The transcript is spliced from 3 exons.